AGCAGCCGCGGUAAUUCCAGCUCCAAUAGCGUAUAUUAAAGUUGUUGCAGUUAAAAAGCUCGUAGUUGAAUUUCGGGGUUAGUAGGUUGGUCAUGCCUCUGGUAUGUACUGGUCUCACUGACUCCUCCUUCCUGAUGAACCUUAAUGCCAUUAAUUUGGUGUUUUGGGGAAUUUGGACUGUUACUUUGAAAAAAUUAGAGUGUUUAAAGCAAGCUAACGCUUGAAUACAUUAGCAUGGAAUAAUGAAAUAGGACGUUCGAUCCUAUUUUGUUGGUUUCUAGGAUUGACGUAAUGAUUAAUAGGGAUAGUUGGUGGCAUUAGUAUUCAAUUGUCAGAGGUGAAAUUCUUGGAUUUAUUGAAGACUAACUACUGCGAAAGCAUUUGCCAAGGAUGUUUUCAUUAAUCAAGAACGAAAGUUAGGGGAUCGAUGACGAUCAGAUACCGUCGUAGUCUUAACCAUAAACUAUGCCGACUAGGGAUCGGAUGAUGUUAAUUUUUUAAUGACUCA
This 508-nucleotide ribosomal RNA is filed under the name uncultured glomeraceous AM fungus. Its description in RNAcentral is "SSU rRNA". It matches the Rfam family "Eukaryotic small subunit ribosomal RNA", at positions 569 to 1078 of the family's 1831-position model. Lineage: Eukaryota; Fungi; Glomeromycota; Glomeromycetes; Glomerales; Glomeraceae. The record is from RNAcentral.